This is a long non-coding RNA of Daktulosphaira vitifoliae (grape phylloxera), 266 nucleotides long. RefSeq lists it as uncharacterized. The record is from RefSeq and is a predicted model, not a curated record. The transcript is spliced from 3 exons. Lineage: Eukaryota; Metazoa; Arthropoda; Insecta; Hemiptera; Phylloxeridae.
AUACAGUUUAAGGUUUUUUUUUGCCUUGUUAUUUUUAUAUAAUAAUCAUAUUUAUAUAUGAAUAUUAGUAUAAGUCUGCCAGUUUGUCUAAAACACCCACUUCCCACAAAUAAUUUGAAAAUUACUGGUAGCAAACUUCAAGAAUUAAGGACAUUCGAAGUGACACAGGAAAAAUGGAUGAAAAGAAAUUAAAUAGAGUCUAUUGAAUUAAAAAUUAUUAUUGUCUAACCUUCGCAAGUGAACACGAAUGAAAUACUGUCGUUAAU